GGGAGGCAAUGAUAGAGACAGGAGACAGCCAAGGGUCCCCAGCAAAACCACACCUUCAAUCCUAAAACAGCCUGAAGGCUGAGGGACCGGACUGCUGGUCCCAGAUGAAACCUACAACCCAGAGGGAGAACUGCCCCUGUUUGCCCACCCUUUCCUGACUAGUUCUUUCUGAAUAAUGCCUACUUGCACACUGGGAAAAUGGGGCGGAGCCAUAGGAAGUUCAUGCCUUAUGCCAGGGGAGGAGGCCGGUCUUUUCAGCUUUUGUGUGUGGUGGCCUGGUAUUCAACCUGGGAGGUAGGGGCCCAUUAGCAGGAUGCCUUGUCACUUUGCUCAGUUUUUUUUUUUUUUUUUUCCUUUUCGCCAAUGAAUCCAGCCCUCCUCAGCCUUCAAUGUGUCCAUGUGCCUAAUUUCUCCUGGUUGUGACACAAAAACCUGGAUUUAGCUAAACUAAGGAGCAAAACUUCUACAUCAGUUUGGUGGCACAUCUGGGGAUCAAGGAAGGGUUUCUGAUAUCUUUGAAGAUUGUGACACUGGAAUAAAGGAAAACAUACAGGACUCAUGAAGAGCUGACAUGUUCGUGAAUAUCAAGCAAAACAAGAGUUAAUGGAAUGGACUGAACUAAUAGAAAACUGAAAUAAUCUUUUUUACUUUUGCUUGGAACACUGCUGAUUCUCAUUUUGUUUUUCAGACUCAAGGAAGCUUAUUUUGAACUAUUUAUGGCCUUUAAUAAUUGAGUAAGGUAAACUCCUGUGAACAAAAUUUGGAGCAUCUCUCUCUCUCUCUCUCUCUCUCUCUCUCUCUCUCUGCCUGGCUUCUCCAGAAUUUAGAAACUAGUUGUGAGUAUUCUUAACUUAUGGCAAUAUAGUUAUUUGCAUCAGUGCAAUAAGAAUCCCUUUUCUUUUGCAACAUGACACAAUUGUAGAAACUGGUUGUCUUACCAAGGCUUUGACUGGAAGGGUGUGCUUCCCUUUAAGGAGUGAAGCUCAACUGGUAGAGCCAAUAAAAGCCCCUUGGGAAAACUGGCCUCACACCUUGUCUACACAGUCCCUGUACAGGGUUCCUGACUUGUGAUAAGUAAAGAAUGUCACUUUCUGACAGGCCCAAGAGCUCCAACUUUAUCUCAGGACCUUAAGAGGAGAGGAUCACCCAACUCACAGGUAUUUGAUGGUACAAACCCAUGGCUAGGCUCGGUUUUAGAAAGAUUGAAAUUUCUUGUGGAUCAGAGUUCCAUCAAGGCCAAUCUACCAGGCCUAUGUAAAAAUAAUUAUUUUUGCUGUACUUUAUGCAAACAAUCAAGCCAAGUAUAAGACUAAAGUCUAUUCUGCAAACAACUCAGUCCUAUCAUGGUUUGUUUUUAACAGAAAUGAGGACUGGAAACAGAGAAAUUAUGUUUCAAAACUUAUCAUACAUUUGUCAUUAACUUCUAGAUUCAUUCGUUGUUUUCAAGUUUUUGCCUACAUUUUAGACUGACCCUGCUAAUUCCUGUGAACCAUCCAGUAUCUCCAACUAUAGCUCAGAAGGAACAAAAUGGCAUGGAUAAUCUGGAUCAAUAUUUUAACACUAGCAAUUAUCCUGCAGACCCUGCGGGGUGAUGGGAAUAAAUAGAGCGCCCAUCAGCCGGAGGUUUCCUUUUGGGGAAAGACCAAGGGAGCUAACCACAGCCAAGCCACAUGCACCCAAAUCUUAGCAAGCAUAACUACAGCCACCAGUUAUCAGGGUGUGUCACAAUACAUCCUUUUCUCUCCCUUGUUAGAGGAGCACUCAAUUCCACAGCUUCACCUUAGUAUUCAGCUUAUGAUAAGGAGUCCAUGCAAUGCCCCUAAGACACAUUUUUGUCCCAAACUCAAUUCCAAGCUUCGGGUCAAAGUCCUAGGAAAGAAAACUGGAUCUGAGGGAUCCAGAGGCAGACAAUAACAAAAGUUAAAAGACACAGUGCAGGUAAGUGUGACUGAUUCCUGUCAACUAAGCCAAGCUUCCCAUUUCACAGAUAAAGUUCAUGCUAGUAUCCAUGGCAUAAAUGAUGUCUAGGGAAUUCAAAGGCUACUGACAGCACAGGAGAUAGGGCAUACAUGGGUAAGAGUGAAUAUUCCCAGCCCCUAGGCCCCCGUUAACAUGGAUGGAAGCCACUUUAGCACCCAUGGGCAACACACUGUCACAGUCACUGGGACUCAGGGAUACAAGGAUGGAGGAAAGGAAGAGGAGAGGAACACCUCACUUUCCCUCAUGUACUGUGGGUAUUUGCUAGGAAGAGAAGGGAACCUGGGAUGCCUCGCUCUCUCCUUUCUAAAUGAGUAGCCAUUCAUCUUCAGUCUGUAUCCCUUUCAAAUGCAUCCUGAACCCCUGGGACUCCUUUAGAAAAAACACCUUUUUUUUUUUCCUCCUCUGUUAUUUCUUCACAGAUACGUAAUCGUAUCUCUGCACUAUGGGACACUUCCCUUGGCUACAUCCUCUAAACUGGGAAAAGUUAAUUUCCCAAACCUUAAACUGGUUGGCUUAGGAUUGGGCUUGGGGAAGGGAACCCAGAAGCCUCACAUGCCAGCAAAAGGGUAAAGUUUUUGUUAUUGUUGUUGUUUUUAUCAGCCAGGCUUUUGGCUUCCCUAUCCCUAUGCAAACUGAUAAAAGGCCUCAGGAUUUUUGAGCUGUCCUUACCCUCCCCUUGUUUUGUUUUGAUACCUGUUUUCUAAUAACCCAGUUUGUCUCUUCUUGCCUUCAGGACAUCAAACUCGAAACGGUCAUACAACCAGAGCCUCAGACAAUGGCCCCUUUUGCCAGAGACCCUUAGAUAGGCCUCUGUGGGAGUUCUGACUGCUGUCUUCCCAAAACAGCACCCCCUGCCAGAAGGAAGCAGUUAAGAUUGAUAUUUGUCCUCAUCCUUAUGCUUAUCUAAUGGCAAUUAGAUGUACUUCUUUAGAGAAGAGCGUGAUAGAGGAGACAGUCAACAGUCACUGGCAAACCUCACCUUCAAGCCUAAAACAGCUCGAAGGCUGAGGGACUGGACUGCUGGUCCCAGAUGAAACCCUCGACCCUCAGGGAGAACUGCCCGUUUGCCCACCCUUUCCCAACUGACUCUUUCUGAAUAAUGCCCACAUGCACACUGGGGGAACGGGGUGGAGCCAUGGGAAGUUCUCACCCUGUGCAGUGGGGAGGAGCCUGGUCUCUUCAGCCAAUGUCUGUGGUGGCCUGCUAUUCAAUCUGCGAGGUGGGUCGGGGGGUUCCCUCUGUUAGCAGGACCCCCUCUCACUUUGCUGAGUUUUUUUUUUUUCCUUCUCACCCAAUAAAUUCAGCCCUCCUCACCCUUCAAUGUGUCUGUGUGCCUAAUUUCUCCUGGUCAUGACACAAGAACCUGGAUUUAGCUAACUAAGGAGCAAAAAUUCUGCAUCCGCAACACAGGUUUAGGGUCUUCUAUUUUAAAGGAUCAGGGAAGCCCUCUAACAAGAUGACAUUUAGGCAGACUGGAAUAGAGGAAGCCAACCAUAUAGAUAUCUGGGAGGAGAGAGUUCUAGCAGAGAACAGGUAGUACAGACUACAAGGUGAGACUAUACUUGGACUUUCUCUGGAUAGGAACAAAACAGAAAGAGUACAAGCAAAUGUGGGUGAUGAAUCAUAGGCAACAAAGAGACCAAAGGUGCAGAAGGCCAGAUGACAUUGGGUCUUGUAGGUCACAGAAAAUAAGUACUUGGGAUUUCAUUCCCAGUGAGAUGGGAAAUCACUGGAAAACUUUGAUCAGGAUGUGAUGUGAUCUUAUUUUUAAAAGGAUCACUCUGGAUGUUCCAUUGAGAGCACACUGUAAUGCACAGGUGAAAGCAAGAAGGCUACUGCAAGUCUGGGGAAGUUCUCAAACUUGACUUGCAUCAGAAGCACCUGUGAUUUGUUAAAUCACAGAUUAAUCAUACAAAAACCUGUACACAAUUGCUCACAGCAGUUUUGCUUGUAACAGCUAAAAAUUGGGAGCCCAGAUGUCAUCCUUGUACAUCCAUCCCGUGGAAUACUACUCAGCAAUAAAAAGGAAAAAACUAUUUUGAUAAAUCUACAGAGAAUUAUGCUGACUGAAAAAAGCCAAACCCAAAAGCUGUCUGAUUCCAUUUAUAGAACUUGCUUGACAUGACAAAAUUAUAAAAGUAGUCAACAGAUUUCCUGGUUGCCAGGGGUUAGCGGUAGGGGCAGGGUAGGAGGAGAAAGGUUGACUAUAUCCCACCAUACAAGGGAUCCUUGUGGUGAUAGAUGUUCUUUCUUGACUUCAUCAAUGUCAAUAUCCUGAUGCUGACCACAGUUUUGCAAGUGUGAAAGGAAAAUAAAUCUUGGGACACCAAAAUCACUAAGCUAAAGGGAAAAGUCAAGCUGGGAACUGCUUGGGACAAACCUGCCUUCCAUUCUAUUCAAAGUCAUGCUUCUGUCCACUGAGAUUAACAUAUAUCUGAUUGACUCAUUUGGAAAGGCUAAUCAGAAACUCAAAACAAUGCAGCCAUUUGUCUCUUAUCUACCUGUGACCUGGAAGCUUCCUACCUCACUUCGAGUUGUCCCACCUUCCUGGACCAAACCACUAUUUAUCUUACAUAUAUUGAUUGAAGUUUUGUGUCUCCCUAAAAUGUAUAAAAACAAGCUGUGCCCCAACCACCUUGGACACAUGCCAUCAGGACCUCCUGAGGCUGUGUCACAGGUGCACGUCCUUAACUUUGGCAAAAUAAACUUCCUAAUUAACUGAGA
RNAcentral lists this long non-coding RNA (4704 nucleotides) under Homo sapiens (human). RNAcentral's name for it is "HSALNT0119761". The record is from RNAcentral. Lineage: Eukaryota; Metazoa; Chordata; Mammalia; Primates; Hominidae.